Molecule: non-coding RNA, 108 nt
Filed under: Bhargavaea cecembensis
Lineage: Bacteria; Bacillati; Bacillota; Bacilli; Caryophanales; Caryophanaceae
Also listed under: 1 other name
Description: SAM-I sequence
Rfam family: SAM riboswitch aptamer (S box leader)
About the family: The SAM riboswitch is found upstream of a number of genes which code for proteins involved in methionine or cysteine biosynthesis in Gram-positive bacteria.
Source: RNAcentral
UUCUUAUCAAGAGCGGCGGAGGGACUGGCCCGACGAUGCCCGGCAACCACCAGACAAUGUCUGGAAAGGUGCUAAUUCCUGUGGGAAGCAAUUCCCAAGAGAUAAGAA